RNAcentral lists this ribosomal RNA (843 nucleotides) under uncultured marine bacterium. Its description in RNAcentral is "bacterial SSU rRNA". It matches the Rfam family "Bacterial small subunit ribosomal RNA", at positions 62 to 926 of the family's 1533-position model. The record is from RNAcentral.
CCGAGCGGUGCUAUCUGCAGUCGUAGAGAGUUUUUACUCAAGUGGCGGACGGGUGAGUAACACGUAAGAAUUUGCCUUUAGGAGGGGGAUAACAACUGGAAACGGUUGCUAAUACCCCAUAUGCUUUCGAGUGAAAUGGAUUUUUCCGCCUAGAGAGAAGCUUGCGUCUGAUUAGCUUGUUGGUGAGGUAACGGCUCACCAAGGCGACGAUCAGUAUCUGGUUUGAGAGGAUGAUCAGACACACUGGAACUGAGACACGGUCCAGACUCCUACGGGAGGCAGCAGUAGGGAAUUUUCCGCAAUGGGCGAAAGCCUGACGGAGCAAUACCGCGUGAGGGAUGACGGCCUAUGGGUUGUAAACCUCUUUUUUCAGGGAGGAAUCAAUGACGUGUACCUGAAGAAUAAGCAUCGGCUAACUCCGUGCCAACAGCCGCGGUAAGACGGAGGAUGCAAGUGUUAUCCGGAAUCACUGGGCGUAAAGCGUCUGUAGGUGGUCAAAUAAGUCAACUGUUAAAUCUUGAGGCUCAACCUCAAAACCGCAGUCGAAACUAUUAGACUAGAGUAUAGUAGGGGUAAAGGGAAUUUCCAGUGGAGCGGUGAAAUGCGUAGAGAUUGGAAGGAACACCGAUGGCGAAGGCACUUUACUGGGCUAUUACUAACACUCAGAGACGAAAGCUAGGGUAGCAAAUGGGAUUAGAUACCCCAGUAGUCCUAGCUGUAAACCAUGGAUACUAGAUGUUGAACAGAUCGACCUGUGCAGUAUCAAAGCUAACGCGUUAAGUAUCCCGCCUGGGAAGUAUGCUCGCAAGAGUGAAACUCAAAGGAAUUGACGGGGGCCCGCAC